AUACGUAGGUGGCAAGCGUUGUCCGGAAUUAUUGGGCGUAAAGCGCGCGCAGGCGGUCCUUUAAGUCUGAUGUGAAAGCCCACGGCCCAACCGGGGAGGGUCAUUGGAAACUGGGGGACUUGAGUGCAGAAGAGGAAAGGGGAAUUCCAAGUGUAGCGGUGAAAUGCGUAGAGAUUUGGAGGAACACCAGUGGCGAAGGCGACUGUCUGGUCUGUAACUGACACUGAGGCGCGAAAGCGUGGGGAGCAAACAGGAUUAGAUACCCUGGUAGUCCACGCCGUAAACGAUGAGUGCUAAGUGUUGGGGGGUUUCCGCCCCUCAGUGCUGCAGCUAACGCAUUAAGCACUCCGCCUGGGGAGUACGGUCGCAAGACUGAAACUCAAAUGAAUUGACGGGG
RNAcentral lists this ribosomal RNA (397 nucleotides) under uncultured bacterium. RNAcentral describes it as "partial 16S ribosomal RNA". It matches the Rfam family "Bacterial small subunit ribosomal RNA", at positions 523 to 918 of the family's 1533-position model. The record is from RNAcentral.